AUGAAAAGAUGUUUGCUUAGUUUAUACCUUUGGAGGGUACAAGGUCAGGAUCGAGUGGCCUCCUCUCUUUGGCACCUCAGAGCCUGGCAGAGAGGGACAUGGCAAAGGUUGGGAAUUUUCUGUAGCCACUUACAGAAGAGAAGAAAGCUUUCAGAUUAGCAACGUCUGUCUUUCAGAAGGCAAACAGAGAACACACCCAAGGCAAAGAUGGUUCUUGCUGAUAUCUCUCUCACUGCAGUAUGAGGCUUCACAACCGGCAGUUGCAUAGACUGAGGACAUGGAAGCUCCAAGGUAUGGUUUUUGAGAAGAAGGUUUUUAUUGUAGAUAUGAAGGACAGUACAGCCAGAGGAGUGUGGAAGGGUUCAGAGCUCAGAGAGAAAGUAAGAGACUAAACAUGGCCAGCAGACUGGAUCAGGCUAGGAGAGGGGGUGGGAGACAGAGAGAGAGAGAGAGAGAGAGAGAGUGAGAGAGAACAAAGCAGACUAAGAGGCAUAGGAAAGGAGAUGGAGAGGGGAAGACAGUGUAAGAGGAAGACCAUGAGCUGGAGUUUAAGGUAAGGUGGGGUGAGAAAGGCUAAGAACCAUGGGUACUGAGAAAGGCUGGAGGCCCUCUGAUGCUUUGAUAUGCUAAUAGAUACUAGGUGUCCCUUCUGAAUGAGAUAGGAAAUGGUUCCUUUAGUUGAGGGAAACAGCCACAGAAUUUGGGUGAGUGGCAUUUCCUUGUUUCCUUCAGUUCUGACAGAGGUUGAGUGGUUUGGAAUGG
This 762-nucleotide long non-coding RNA is filed under the name Mus spicilegus (steppe mouse). RNAcentral describes it as "lncRNA (ENSMSIG00000004710.1)". Lineage: Eukaryota; Metazoa; Chordata; Mammalia; Rodentia; Muridae. The record is from RNAcentral.